This is a long non-coding RNA of Hibiscus syriacus, 1270 nucleotides long. RefSeq lists it as uncharacterized. The transcript has 5 exons. Lineage: Eukaryota; Viridiplantae; Streptophyta; Magnoliopsida; Malvales; Malvaceae. The record is from RefSeq and is a predicted model, not a curated record.
UCUAUUUUUUAAAUUUUUUAUGAAUGAAUUAUCAGUCUCACAUGUUCCCCGUUCCUUUCUCUUCUCGAUGAAAUAAGGAAAUAUCUGAGAAAUUUCUUUGAGAUUAUAUAAACUUCAGUAUUUGCUCGACUCUUUGAAUUGGAAAAAAAAGAAUCAGUCAAUAAUAAGAAGGUUUGAAGAACAGUGAAUUUGGACGACGAUGGUGAUUAAGACGGAAAUUACAGCAAACAGAGAGAUUGGCGGGCUUGUAAAAUCUGCACUUUCCCGAAAUGAUUUGGUCUCAAUCUAUGUAUUUCCAGAUACAGCUUUUUAGACCUUCAUUUGCUGGAGCUGGAUGACAAAAGAGUGCAGGAAAACUCGCAGGGGAUUCGAUAGAAUGAAAAGGACGAUCUUAGCUAUGCAAGUUCACAAACAGUUCAAGGCGAAAAGUUGUAAGGAAGAUAGCUAAGCGUUGCGCAGCCAUGACUGUAUUUAUAGGAAGAAAUCCAGAGGAGACUUCCUGGAAGUGGAUAUAUGCCGGCUAUAGUGUACAUCGAUUGCUGCUAAUUACUGCUCUUCUGAGUGUUGAGAAGGGAAAGAUAAUCUUCGAAAUGCUUCCAUUUCACCAUUCACAAGGUUUCAAGUUCAAUUUGACACCUGAGUUUGUAUCUCGAUAAAAGCAGUGCUAUAUUACGACAUGCAGAUCAGGAAUCACGGUCUGAAGAAGUUGAAUCUCCUCCGUUUCUUCCCAUCUCCGGUUUAGCAAGUGAUGAUAAUCAUAGUGACAAGGCCGUUCUCUUGAAUUCGAUAUCUAUCAUCCAAAGAGAACUGACAGAAACCCUUCCUUGGUUGGCCUUAUUCGAAGAAAAUCUCCUGCAAACCAAGAGUUAAAGAAACAUGAAAGUAGGGAUACAUCUGUUGUGGAAGGGAUAAUGAGCCUACCUGAUCGAGUUACCUCGGUUGUUGACCAGAUUGCUUUGCAUUCGAAUCAAACUAGCUUCAAUGACAAUCACAAGAUUGAAUAUGGUGCAGGAGAUUCAGUUUCUUCGAACACAAACGAUGCGGAACCAAAUCCAAAGCAUGGUUGGCCUCUCUCCGCAUUACAGCUUCCACUACUUCUGAUUCUUGUUUAUCAGAAUCGAAUCUACAAAGAUGUCAUUGCCAAUGGUUGAGAGGGCGAUGAACACUGCUAUUGAAUCAAAGGAAUAUGACAAUUGCGUACAAUAGAAAAUUCCUUGCCAGCACUAAGAAAGAUGCCGAACAACUUGGCACUUCGUUGCAAGCAGUUCAC